UGUUUAAGAGAUAGUCCUACAUAACCUGGCACUUUGCCAUUUUUACUACACAAAAUGUUAUCUAUUCCUUUCUGUUGGCAUCAAGUUUUAUGCUUUUGUUUGGAUUUUGGCAACCAUUUACUACUCUUGAAAGAAAAUGAAAUUCUCUCCAUCUCCCUUUUUGUUUUUGUUCUUUUGAAUCUAAAUUUUAUUAGAACUUCUUUGCAGUCCUAGAGGAGGUCAAAUCAAAAUAAUAAAAAAUGAUAUUGUAACUUUCCUUGGCAAUGUGCUUAAUUCUUCCAAUAGCUUAAUUCAACAUGGAUAACUAAAUAACAUGGAUACCUUCAUGCAAGUUCUGAAAACAAAUCACACUGAAAAAAUCAUGUUGCUCAAAAAUAAAUACACAAAAGUACAUAAAUAAAUAAAGAAAGAAAGAAAGAAAGAAAAUCAUCAGCAACAAGAAGAAACUCAGUGUGUCUUCAGAUAUCUGAUGAUGAUGAUGAUGAUGAUGAUUUAUGGUCUCAUUAACAAUAGAUAUGAUACGAACUCAAAUGCCUUUACAAAUAGCAAACAAUUAGGAUGAUCAUUAAAGCACACAAAGACGAAGAAGGAGCAGAAGCCAUGGCAGUAUGGAAAGAUAACAAAAAAUGCAAUUCUAGCCAUGAUUGAUUAGACACAUGGCAAACAAACAUACAUCAAACUCUGAAGACAAGUUGCAGCAUUAGCUGGGCUGAGGGUUCACGUGAGACUAUUUGGAGCACACUAGAGAGAGCGAUAGAGAGAGAGAGCCCUGGCAUUGUCAAUGCCCCCUCUCCUUUACAAUAAUGGGCUCACAAUAACUUUGCAGCAGUCUCCAGUGGGGGGAGGGGGAGUUUUUUAAGUGAGUGGGGCAUGUAAUAAAAGCCUUGAUGCCCUCGAGGAAGGGAGUGCCCAGUGGGGCAAUGAAUGUCUCCACCUGAUAUAAGCAAAUAUGCGGACUUGCUUCAAAGUUGGCUGGCGUCCACUUCUGUCAGAUGGUGGAGAGUGGACAUACACUCUGAUUUAUCUUGCUUCAUCCACCUGUCUCUUUGCCAUGCUUCAUGAAUGACAAACACCCUCUUUAUUUGCUUCAUAUUGACAAAUAAUAAUAAAAUCAACUUUAUUUGUUAGUCUGCAGUAACCCUAAAAUUAUCAAAUAAUAACAAGUGGGUGCAUCAAACAGGGUGCGGUGUUUGAAUUGCUACUGUGAAAUGGUGGAUCUGGUUGAUAGAAAAUGUCACAUGGAGGAUAGAGCAUUGUAUUGUUUUGAAAAAAAGUACAAGCAAAAAAAAUGAAAAUGAAACGCUGACAAUACAAUUGAGUUUAUCUUGUUAGAUAACUUGCAUGAAAAUGCCAACCCAACAAGGUGUCUGCAUUAGAAUUGGGAUGGAUUGAAAAUUGUCAUGUGAAUGAAAUUGCAAACACGAUGUGGAAUCCGAGAGUAGGAUUUGUGGAAUUGUGACCCUGUUUUAUUGGCAUGAAGACACAUGGGGUUUGAGGGUUGGGAUUGCGAGAGUUACGUGUUUUUUUGCUCGUGUGUUAGAGGGUUUGGAAUUAUGUGAAAUGGAUUAUUUGGGAAUAGAGUAGAAAGAGAGGAUUUUGAUGUUUUUAGUCUGUUGGAAUUUUCCAAGAUGCUGUGCAAAAGAGAAAGAAAAAGACAGCCACAAUUGUAGUGUUUUGAUAAACUGAAAGUGAUUAAGGUUAGUACACAAACCAGUGGAGUACAUAAAAUUGAAACUUAUCCAUUUAACCUUAAAAGUGAAGUAACCAUCACAUUUGGUUGAAUUUGCAAUAGAUCAUUCUUCUGCACCAUUACAACAUCAAUUUCAUCUUGUGAUGUCAUUCACAAAAUGGGGAUUGAUCUGCACAGCCCAAUGCCUUAUCAACAUCAUAUUGUUUGUCUCCAGCUGCAAAAAACAUUAUUAUAUUAUUAUUGUUAUUAACAUAAAAUUUACAAAUUUGCAUGUACAUGUCUGCUGGUUGCUGUGACUUGUGAGGCAAUGUACAAUUGACUCACAUGAGAAUGAGGAGAAACAUGCUGACACUCUGAAUAAAUGUACACUUGAAAAGAAUAAUAAUGAAAAAAAAAAAGAAAAAGAAAAAGGAAAAACACAUGAAAGCAAGUAAGAAAGAAUGUCAAACACAAGAUGCAGACCUUUGACAUCCAGCCCUAAAGUUUUUAGUAAGGACUUAGUGCAGAUCAUGCAUGAAUCACUUGAAUUGUCAUUGAAAUGGCUCCAGUUUACAUUGGGAGCUG
RNAcentral lists this long non-coding RNA (2254 nucleotides) under Physcomitrium patens. RNAcentral's name for it is "long non-coding RNA (PPAT_LNC004842)". Lineage: Eukaryota; Viridiplantae; Streptophyta; Bryopsida; Funariales; Funariaceae. The record is from RNAcentral.